Molecule: ribosomal RNA, 507 nt
Filed under: uncultured bacterium
Lineage: Bacteria
Description: bacterial SSU rRNA
Rfam family: Bacterial small subunit ribosomal RNA
Source: RNAcentral
AGAGUUUGAUCCUGGCUCAGGACGAACGCUGGCGGCGUGCUUAACACAUGCAAGUCGAACGGUGAAGCUCCAGCUUGCUGGAGUGGAUCAGUGGCGAACGGGUGAGUAACACGUGAGCAACCUGCCCUUGACUCUGGGAUAACCCCGGGAAACCGGAGCUAAUACCGGAUAGGACUGCCGCGGGCAUCUGCGGUGGUGGAAAGAUUUAUUGGUCAAGGAUGGGCUCGCGGCCUAUCAGCUUGUUGGUGGGGUAAUGGCCUACCAAGGCGACGACGGGUAGCCGGCCUGAGAGGGCGACCGGCCACACUGGGACUGAGACACGGCCCAGACUCCUACGGGAGGCAGCAGUGGGGAAUAUUGCACAAUGGGCGAAAGCCUGAUGCAGCGACGCCGCGUGAGGGAUGAAGGCCUUCGGGUUGUAAACCUCUUUCAGCAGGGAAGAAGCGCAAGUGACGGUACCUGCAGAAGAAGCACCGGCUAACUACGUGCCAGCAGCCGCGGUAAUAC